AAGUCGUAACAAGGUUUCCGUAGGUGAACCUGCGGAAGGAUCAUUAACACAAUUUUACUGUGAUAAAAUCCAUUGAGUUAUCGAACACUCUUCGUGACUCAAUGGUAUCCACCCCAUUAUUGACGAACUUUUGUCUAGAUGUUUAAAAAAAAACAUAGAGCUCGUCUUUGUGUUUUUCAAAACAUUCUAAACCUUUGUCUCUACCCCAUCAAACUUUUUAACCCCUUUUACAACCUGUCUUAGACUGAAAUGAAAUAUUUUUCUUAUCAAAAAAAUGAUAAAAAAACAACUUUUAACAACGGAUAUCUUGGUUCUC
RNAcentral lists this unclassified non-coding RNA (316 nucleotides) under fungal sp. Its description in RNAcentral is "partial internal transcribed spacer region". The stretch from base 1 to 46 matches the Rfam family "Eukaryotic small subunit ribosomal RNA", at positions 1786 to 1831 of the family's 1831-position model. The record is from RNAcentral. Lineage: Eukaryota; Fungi.